RNAcentral lists this long non-coding RNA (257 nucleotides) under Ricinus communis (castor bean). RNAcentral describes it as "long non-coding RNA (RCOM_LNC000161)". The record is from RNAcentral. Lineage: Eukaryota; Viridiplantae; Streptophyta; Magnoliopsida; Malpighiales; Euphorbiaceae.
UUCCAUCUGUGUUCCCAUUACCGCCCAUAGUUUCUUUCAGUGAAACAAAGAUUCAGCUUUGGAUUUUAUUGUGAGAUUUGAGAGAAUGGGUCUUGCUGUGGAGAGAAACAGAAGCCAAGGAGAUAGAAGUAGGUUUUGCUUCGCUAUAAGCUAAUGGCUUUUUGUUUCUUUUGCUUUUUUUAAGGAUUUUUAUUGCAUAACUGACCUUGGCUUUGGUCUCUCUUUCCUUUUCUUUUCGUUUUUUUUUUUAGUAGAAC